AGAUAAUUUGUAAUCCUAACAAAACUGGUUUUUCGGCAGCUCGCGAUUGCGAUAGCACCGAGACUUCGGACGUGGUGCCUAUUGCAGUUGGCAUUGCUUUGGUUGCUUUAAUUAUGAUUGUUUUGGUUUCUUACCUUUGCGCUCGGCGCCGCUCGAAUUCACGUGGCUACAUGAGCUUUUAAAUUUUUAAAUUUAAUGUUUUUCUUUUUUGCUUUUUUUUUUUUUGUAAACUUUGAACGAAACAGAGCAUACGGAGCAUGUAAAAUGUGAAGUUAGGUUACCAGAAGUGUUUUUUGAAUUUGUUUUAAAAGCACUACAGUUAUACUGACUUUGCCUUUGAAGCUUUGUUGUUCUCCGAAGCAAAGAAAGUAAAGAAAGAAAACUUGUGUGAUUAAAAAAAGAAAAAACAAAAAUUUAUUAACACAAUCUCUUAACACAACAAAUCGUACAUCGUCCAUAUUAAACAAACAGCUGUAAUCUUUUUCAAAUUUUCAAAACCAAAAUGUUUUACUUAAGUAUUCGACACAUUGUUAUAAUUGGUAUUUUCCUUUAACAUAAUCUACCUGUC
This is a long non-coding RNA of Glossina fuscipes, 568 nucleotides long. RefSeq lists it as uncharacterized. The transcript has 4 exons. The record is from RefSeq and is a predicted model, not a curated record. Lineage: Eukaryota; Metazoa; Arthropoda; Insecta; Diptera; Glossinidae.